Molecule: ribosomal RNA, 246 nt
Filed under: uncultured bacterium
Lineage: Bacteria
Description: partial 16S ribosomal RNA
Rfam family: Bacterial small subunit ribosomal RNA
Source: RNAcentral
ACAGGCCUACGGGAGGUAGCAGUGGGGAAUAUUGCACAAUGGGGGAAACCCUGAUGCAGCGACGCCGCGUGAGUGAAGAAGUAUCUCGGUAUGUAAAGCUCUAUCAGCAGGAAAGAUAAUGACGGUACCUGACUAAGAAGCCCCGGCUAACUACGUGCCAGCAGCCGCGGUAAUACGUAGGGGGCAAGCGUUAUCCGGAUUUACUGGGCGUAAAGGGAGCGUAGACGGCAGCGCAAGUCUGGAGUG